CAACUCUUCUGAAGUUGACCUCGAAUCAGGUAGGAA
Molecule: ribosomal RNA, 36 nt
Filed under: uncultured fungus
Lineage: Eukaryota; Fungi
Description: partial 28S ribosomal RNA
Source: RNAcentral